CAAGCUAAUAAUAAUGAAGCCUCUGUGCUCUUAAUGUUUCCAGGUAUGCCUUCAGCGGGAACAAUAUGCCCACCAUGGUGCCGAUCCCCAACGCCAACGUAGAGUUCGGCACGGCCAAUCAGAUGAGCAGGAACGACAUCAGCAGACUGAACACGCUGUACAAAUGUUGAAAGGUGGUGAAGAAACCCUGAGGACAUGGGGCCAAUUUACACAUCAAACCAGCUCUUUAUAACACAGUCUGAGAAAGUGUGUUGAUAAUGAAUCUUCAAACAUG
Long non-coding RNA from Trematomus bernacchii (emerald rockcod), 274 nucleotides. RefSeq lists it as uncharacterized. NCBI's taxonomy places the organism in Eukaryota, Metazoa, Chordata, Actinopteri, Perciformes, Nototheniidae. The record is from RefSeq and is a predicted model, not a curated record. The transcript is spliced from 2 exons.